This 253-nucleotide ribosomal RNA is filed under the name uncultured bacterium. RNAcentral describes it as "partial 16S ribosomal RNA". It matches the Rfam family "Bacterial small subunit ribosomal RNA", at positions 524 to 776 of the family's 1533-position model. The record is from RNAcentral.
UACGUAGGGUGCAAGCGUUAAUCGGAAUUACUGGGCGUAAAGCGCACGUAGGCGGCUUUGUAAGUUAGAGGUGAAAGCCCGGGGCUCAACUCCGGAAUUGCCUUUAAGACUGCAUCGCUUGAGUUGUGGAGAGGUAAGUGGAAUUCCGAGUGUAGAGGUGAAAUUCGUAGAUAUUCGGAAGAACACCAGUGGCGAAGGCGACUUACUGGACACAUACUGACGCUGAGGUGCGAAAGCGUGGGGAGCAAACAGG